RNAcentral lists this ribosomal RNA (423 nucleotides) under uncultured bacterium. RNAcentral's name for it is "bacterial SSU rRNA". It matches the Rfam family "Bacterial small subunit ribosomal RNA", at positions 355 to 776 of the family's 1533-position model. The record is from RNAcentral.
UGAGGAAUAUUGGUCAAUGGCCGAGAGGCUGAACCAGCCAAGUCGCGUGAGGGAAGAAUGUCCUAUGGAUUGUAAACCUCUUUUGUCAGGGAGCAAAGUCACCCACGUGUGGGUGUUGGAGAGUACCUGAAGAAAAAGCAUCGGCUAACUCCGUGCCAGCAGCCGCGGUAAUACGGAGGAUGCGAGCGUUAUCCGGAUUUAUUGGGUUUAAAGGGUGCGUAGGCGGGUUAUCAAGUCAGCGGUAAAAUCGUGGAGCUCAACUCCAUCCAGCCGUUGAAACCGAUGAUCUUGAGUGGGCGAGAAGUAUGCGGAAUGCGUGGUGUAGCGGUGAAAUGCAUAGAUAUCACGCAGAACUCCGAUUGCGAAGGCAGCAUACCGGCGCCCGACUGACGCUGAAGCACGAAAGCGUGGGUAUCGAACAGG